GAUUCUGGCUCAGAUUGAACGCUGGCGGCGUGCUUAACACAUGCAAGUCGCGCGUGAAAGGACUUCGGUCCGAGUAAAGCGGCGCACGGGUGAGUAACGCGUGGAUGAUCUACCCAUGAGUUAGGAAUAACGGCUGGAAACGGUCGCUAAUACCAAAUACGCUCCGAUUUCAACUUCGGGGGAAAGGUGGCCUCUGCUUGCAAGCUACUGCUCAUGGAUGAGUCCGCGUCCCAUUAGCUAGUUGGUGGGGUAACGGCCCACCAAGGCGACGAUGGGUAGCCGGUCUGAGAGGAUGACCGGCCACACUGGGACUGGAACACGGCCCAGACUCCUACGGGAGGCAGCAGUGGGGAAUAUUGCGCAAUGGGCGAAAGCCUGACGCAGCGACGCCGCGUGAGGGAUGAAGGUCCUCGGAUCGUAAACCUCUGUCAGGAGGGAAGAACCGCCACGGUGCUAAUCAGCCGUGGUCUGACGGUACCUCCAAAGGAAGCACCGGCUAACUCCGUGCCAGCCGCAGC
Molecule: ribosomal RNA, 518 nt
Filed under: uncultured bacterium
Lineage: Bacteria
Description: bacterial SSU rRNA
Rfam family: Bacterial small subunit ribosomal RNA
Source: RNAcentral